RNAcentral lists this ribosomal RNA (390 nucleotides) under Filasterea sp. RNAcentral describes it as "SSU rRNA". It matches the Rfam family "Eukaryotic small subunit ribosomal RNA", at positions 828 to 1219 of the family's 1831-position model. The record is from RNAcentral. Lineage: Eukaryota; Filasterea.
CUUUGGUUUUAUUUUGUUGGUUUUUAAGACCGAAGUAAUGAUUAAUAGGGACAGUUGGGGGCAUUAGAAUCGACAUGUCAGAGGUGAAAUUCUUGAAUUUUGUCGCGUCUAACUUCUGCGAAAGCAUUUGCCAAGGAUGUUUUCAUUGAUCAAGAACGAAAGUUAGGGGAUCGAAAACGAUUAGAUACCGUUGUAGUCUUAACCAUAAACUAUGCCGACUAGGGAUUGGUAGACGUUAUUUAUGACUCUAUCAGCACCUUAUGAGAAAUCAAAGUUUUUGGGUUCCGGGGGGAGUAUGGUCGCAAGGCUGAAACUUAAAGGAAUUGACGGAAGGGCACCACCAGGAGUGGAGCCUGCGGCUUAAUUUGACUCAACACGGGGAAACUCACC